CUUAUUCCAUUGCAUGAAAUCUAGAAGCACUUCUGCAACCUUCUCUCUCUCCAUUGGUCUUUCCUAGCACUAUUAUAUUUUUUCAAAGGGAAAUGAAGUUCGC
Long non-coding RNA from Juglans regia (Persian walnut), 103 nucleotides. RefSeq lists it as uncharacterized. The record is from RefSeq and is a predicted model, not a curated record. The transcript is spliced from 3 exons. Lineage: Eukaryota; Viridiplantae; Streptophyta; Magnoliopsida; Fagales; Juglandaceae.